AGCGAACGCUGGCGGCAGGCUUAACACAUGCAAGUCGAACGGGCACUUCGGUGCUAGUGGCAGACGGGUGAGUAACGCGUGGGAACGUACCUUUCGGUUCGGAAUAAUUCAGGGAAACUUGGACUAAUACCGGAUACGCCCUUCGGGGGAAAGAUUUAUCGCCGAUAGAUCGGCCCGCGUCUGAUUAGCUAGUUGGUGAGGUAAAGGCUCACCAAGGCGACGAUCAGUAGCUGGUCUGAGAGGAUGAUCAGCCACAUUGGGACUGAGACACGGCCCAAACUCCUACGGGAGGCAGCAGUGGGGAAUAUUGGACAAUGGGCGCAAGCCUGAUCCAGCCAUGCCGCGUGAGUGAUGAAGGCCUUAGGGUUGUAAAGCUCUUUUGUCCGGGAAGAUAAUGACUGUACCGGAAGAAUAAGCCCCGGCUAACUUCGUGCCAGCAGCCGCAGUAA
This 449-nucleotide ribosomal RNA is filed under the name uncultured bacterium. RNAcentral's name for it is "partial 16S ribosomal RNA". It matches the Rfam family "Bacterial small subunit ribosomal RNA", at positions 29 to 523 of the family's 1533-position model. The record is from RNAcentral.